Molecule: ribosomal RNA, 227 nt
Filed under: uncultured eukaryote
Lineage: Eukaryota
Description: partial small subunit ribosomal RNA
Rfam family: Eukaryotic small subunit ribosomal RNA
Source: RNAcentral
GGGAACUUCACCAGGCCCGGACACCGGAAGGAUUGACAGAUUGAGAGCUCUUUCUCGAUUCGGUGGGUGGUGGUGCAUGGCCGUUCUUAGUUGGUGGAGUGAUUUGUCUGGUUAAUUCCGAUAACGAACGAGACUCUGUCCUGCUAAAUAGUGUCAGCCUCUCUUUUGGGCUGACAAUUCUUCUUAGAGGGACUGGCGGCACCUAGCCGCACGAAAUAGAGCAAUAA